RNAcentral lists this ribosomal RNA (2774 nucleotides) under Escherichia coli. Its description in RNAcentral is "bacterial LSU rRNA". It matches the Rfam family "Bacterial large subunit ribosomal RNA". Lineage: Bacteria; Pseudomonadati; Pseudomonadota; Gammaproteobacteria; Enterobacterales; Enterobacteriaceae. The record is from RNAcentral.
AGCGUACACGGUGGAUGCCCUGGCAGUCAGAGGCGAUGAAGGACGUGCUAAUCUGCGAUAAGCGUCGGUAAGGUGAUAUGAACCGUUAUAACCGGCGAUUUCCGAAUGGGGAAACCCAGUGUGAUUCGUCACACUAUCAUUAACUGAAUCCAUAGGUUAAUGAGGCGAACCGGGGGAACUGAAACAUCUAAGUACCCCGAGGAAAAGAAAUCAACCGAGAUUCCCCCAGUAGCGGCGAGCGAACGGGGAGCAGCCCAGAGCCUGAAUCAGUGUGUGUGUUAGUGGAAGCGUCUGGAAAGGCGCGCGAUACAGGGUGACAGCCCCGUACACAAAAAUGCACAUACUGUGAGCUCGAUGAGUAGGGCGGGACACGUGGUAUCCUGUCUGAAUAUGGGGGGACCAUCCUCCAAGGCUAAAUACUCCUGACUGACCGAUAGUGAACCAGUACCGUGAGGGAAAGGCGAAAAGAACCCCGGCGAGGGGAGUGAAAAAGAACCUGAAACCGUGUACGUACAAGCAGUGGGAGCACGCUUCGGCGUGUGACUGCGUACCUUUUGUAUAAUGGGUCAGCGACUUAUAUUCUGUAGCAAGGUUAACCGAAUAGGGGAGCCGAAGGGAAACCGAGUCUUAACUGGGCGUUAAGUUGCAGGGUAUAGACCCGAAACCCGGUGAUCUAGCCAUGGGCAGGUUGAAGGUUGGGUAACACUAACUGGAGGACCGAACCGACUAAUGUUGAAAAAUUAGCGGAUGACUUGUGGCUGGGGGUGAAAGGCCAAUCAAACCGGGAGAUAGCUGGUUCUCCCCGAAAGCUAUUUAGGUAGCGCCUCGUGAAUUCAUCUCCGGGGGUAGAGCACUGUUUCGGCAAGGGGGUCAUCCCGACUUACCAACCCGAUGCAAACUGCGAAUACCGGAGAAUGUUAUCACGGGAGACACACGGCGGGUGCUAACGUCCGUCGUGAAGAGGGAAACAACCCAGACCGCCAGCUAAGGUCCCAAAGUCAUGGUUAAGUGGGAAACGAUGUGGGAAGGCCCAGACAGCCAGGAUGUUGGCUUAGAAGCAGCCAUCAUUUAAAGAAAGCGUAAUAGCUCACUGGUCGAGUCGGCCUGCGCGGAAGAUGUAACGGGGCUAAACCAUGCACCGAAGCUGCGGCAGCGACACUAUGUGUUGUUGGGUAGGGGAGCGUUCUGUAAGCCUGUGAAGGUGUGCUGUGAGGUAUGCUGGAGGUAUCAGAAGUGCGAAUGCUGACAUAAGUAACGAUAAAGCGGGUGAAAAGCCCGCUCGCCGGAAGACCAAGGGUUCCUGUCCAACGUUAAUCGGGGCAGGGUGAGUCGACCCCUAAGGCGAGGCCGAAAGGCGUAGUCGAUGGGAAACAGGUUAAUAUUCCUGUACUUGGUGUUACUGCGAAGGGGGGACGGAGAAGGCUAUGUUGGCCGGGCGACGGUUGUCCCGGUUUAAGCGUGUAGGCUGGUUUUCCAGGCAAAUCCGGAAAAUCAAGGCUGAGGCGUGAUGACGAGGCACUACGGUGCUGAAGCAACAAAUGCCCUGCUUCCAGGAAAAGCCUCUAAGCAUCAGGUAACAUCAAAUCGUACCCCAAACCGACACAGGUGGUCAGGUAGAGAAUACCAAGGCGCUUGAGAGAACUCGGGUGAAGGAACUAGGCAAAAUGGUGCCGUAACUUCGGGAGAAGGCACGCUGAUAUGUAGGUGAAGUCCCUUGCGGAUGGAGCUGAAAUCAGUCGAAGAUACCAGCUGGCUGCAACUGUUUAUUAAAAACACAGCACUGUGCAAACACGAAAGUGGACGUAUACGGUGUGACGCCUGCCCGGUGCCGGAAGGUUAAUUGAUGGGGUUAGCGGUAACGCGAAGCUCUUGAUCGAAGCCCCGGUAAACGGCGGCCGUAACUAUAACGGUCCUAAGGUAGCGAAAUUCCUUGUCGGGUAAGUUCCGACCUGCACGAAUGGCGUAAUGAUGGCCAGGCUGUCUCCACCCGAGACUCAGUGAAAUUGAACUCGCUGUGAAGAUGCAGUGUACCCGCGGCAAGACGGAAAGACCCCGUGAACCUUUACUAUAGCUUGACACUGAACAUUGAGCCUUGAUGUGUAGGAUAGGUGGGAGGCUUUGAAGUGUGGACGCCAGUCUGCAUGGAGCCGACCUUGAAAUACCACCCUUUAAUGUUUGAUGUUCUAACGUUGGCCCCUGAUCGGGGUUGCGGACAGUGUCUGGUGGGUAGUUUGACUGGGGCGGUCUCCUCCUAAAGAGUAACGGAGGAGCACGAAGGUUGGCUAAUCCUGGUCGGACAUCAGGAGGUUAGUGCAAUGGCAUAAGCCAGCUUGACUGCGAGCGUGACGGCGCGAGCAGGUGCGAAAGCAGGUCAUAGUGAUCCGGUGGUUCUGAAUGGAAGGGCCAUCGCUCAACGGAUAAAAGGUACUCCGGGGAUAACAGGCUGAUACCGCCCAAGAGUUCAUAUCGACGGCGGUGUUUGGCACCUCGAUGUCGGCUCAUCACAUCCUGGGGCUGAAGUAGGUCCCAAGGGUAUGGCUGUUCGCCAUUUAAAGUGGUACGCGAGCUGGGUUUAGAACGUCGUGAGACAGUUCGGUCCCUAUCUGCCGUGGGCGCUGGAGAACUGAGGGGGGCUGCUCCUAGUACGAGAGGACCGGAGUGGACGCAUCACUGGUGUUCGGGUUGUCAUGCCAAUGGCACUGCCCGGUAGCUAAAUGCGGAAGAGAUAAGUGCUGAAAGCAUCUAAGCACGAAACUUGCCCCGAGAUGAGUUCU